Molecule: ribosomal RNA, 540 nt
Filed under: Triticum aestivum (bread wheat)
Lineage: Eukaryota; Viridiplantae; Streptophyta; Magnoliopsida; Poales; Poaceae
Description: partial small subunit ribosomal RNA
Source: RNAcentral
AUGAGCAAGGCACUAAGUCCGCGUUACCAGGGUCUAUCCACUUACGAAAAGGAAUAUUUGGCAGUCAUUGUGGCGGUGGACCAGUGGAGACCUUACCUCCAGCACAUAGAGUUCAUCAUCUCCACUGACCAACGCAGCCUAAUCCACCUCAACGAGCAGCGCCUCACAACACCAUGGCAGCAGAAGGCGUUUACUAAGCUCCUGGGGCUGCGUUUCACCGCCCGUUACAAGAAAGGAAGCGACAACACGGCCGUCGAUGCUCUCUCGCGCGCCAAUCUAACCAAGCUGCUGCAUGGCAUCAAUUCCUGCCAACCCGCCUGGCUCGAGGAGGUCAUCGCCAGUUACAACAGUAACCCACAUGCUCAGCGUCUUCUGGAACAACUAUCCAUCAGGGAGGACCCAAAAGGGCGGUUCACCCUCAAACAAGGACUGCUGCGUUUUCGUGACAGAAUCUGGCUAGGGGGGUCAACACAGAUGCAGCAACGCAUUAUAUUGGCAUUCCACGACAGCGCCAUGGGGGACAUUCAUGCUUCCCAGUGA